RNAcentral lists this transfer RNA (75 nucleotides) under Leucobacter sp. cx-169. RNAcentral's name for it is "tRNA-Pro". It matches the Rfam family "tRNA". From Rfam's summary of the family: Transfer RNA (tRNA) molecules are approximately 80 nucleotides in length. Lineage: Bacteria; Bacillati; Actinomycetota; Actinomycetes; Micrococcales; Microbacteriaceae. The record is from RNAcentral.
CCGGAUGUAGCUCAGCUUGGCUAGAGCACCCGCUUUGGGAGCGGGAAGUCGCAGGUUCGAAUCCUGUCAUCCGGA